RNAcentral lists this ribosomal RNA (440 nucleotides) under uncultured bacterium. RNAcentral describes it as "partial 16S ribosomal RNA". It matches the Rfam family "Bacterial small subunit ribosomal RNA", at positions 338 to 795 of the family's 1533-position model. The record is from RNAcentral.
CCUACGGGUGGCAGCAGUGGGGAAUAUUGCACAAUGGGGGAAACCCUGAUGCAGCAACGCCGCGUGAGUGAAGAAGUAUUUCGGUAUGUAAAGCUCUAUUAGCAGGGAAGAAAAUGACAGUACUUGACUAAGAAGCCCCGGCUAAUUACGUGCCAGCAGCCGCGGUAAUACGUAGGGGGCAAGCGUUAUCCGGAUUUACUGGGUGUAAAGGGAGCGUAGACGGCUGCGCAAGUCAGAAGUGAAAGCCCAGGGCUCAACCCCGGGACUGCUUUUGAAACUGUGUAGCUAGAGUGCAGGAGAGGUAAGUGGAAUUCCUAGUGUAGCGGUGAAAUGCGUAGAUAUUAGGAGGAACACCGGUGGCGAAGGCGGCUUACUGGACUGUAACUGACGUUGAGGCUCGAAAGCGUGGGGAGCAAACAGGAUUAGAUACCCUAGUAGUC